Long non-coding RNA from Equus asinus (donkey), 2898 nucleotides. Lineage: Eukaryota; Metazoa; Chordata; Mammalia; Perissodactyla; Equidae. The record is from Ensembl.
CAAACACAAAUUACAUGCAGUGUAUCUGGAUGAAAAGAAGGCUGAGUUGAAGCUUUCUCUAUACUUAAGUGGUAAAGAAGUAUUAAUAUUAUUGUUAAAUUAAAAAAUAAAUAGUAGCAACCAAAAAGGGUUUGGUCAGAAAUCGUGUUCUUGGAAAUGUUUCUUAAAGGAAAUGGUUUCCUUCUGUUAAUGUUAAAUUUUUCUAACAUACACAUUUAAUUUCUCAUGUGUAAAGUUUUUAAGAAGAAAUGUUUUAUUCAAAUAUUACAUGUUUGCUACCUUUUGUACAAUACACAUUUGAUGUUUUAAAGAAGUAGACAUGGAGUUAAGAUAAAUUUUUCUAGGAAAACUAUUCAUUAUUUUUAUUUAACCAUAUGACUCCUUUAAAUUCUUACCUCUCUUUUUCUGGGGUGCAAAUUCUAGGGAUGUGAGAAAUAGUGUGUCACUUUUGAAUUUUUUUCCAAAACAAACUUUCUAAAUAAAUUCCUGUGCUUAUAUUUUACUCUAUCAUUUAACACUUAGUGAGACCUUUUAUGUGGUAGGCAGUAUAAAACGUACUAGAGACAAGAAGACGUUUCAGAUACUCUCACUGGCCUCAAGGAGGUUUCAGAGCUAUGAUUGAUAGAAGAAUGCAUAGGGAGUAACGGGAAAGGUGAGGAAUUGUCCACUCAGCCUAGGGGCAAAGGAGGAGUAGUUAGGAAAUGCUUCUGAGAUUAGGGCAGCUGAUCCAGUUCAGCACACCUGAAGAUGGGAGUCUUAAUCAGGCAGUGGAAUUUAGUCCCAGUGGCUUGAGCAAAAGGUAUACAUAGCAAUGUGAUAGGAGAUCAGAUUGGAAAUGUAGUCAGAGGCCUUGUGUGCCAAAGGAGGAACAACAAGGAAACAGGAAACCAAGGAAGUAUUUUUGGCACAUCUCUAAUAAUUGUAGAGUUGGAGUUUUUGUUUUUCAACAAAAGAAAAUAGAAUAGCAUACUUUAGCACAUCAUAGAACAGAAAAUACCAGAAAGUGUUACAUGUAGUUAGGCCAACUGUUGUGUAGUGAAACUUUGGUUUUAGUUGUGUUUUAGAAAAAUAAUUGGCAGUAUGGAAAAUAGGACUUAAUAAGAUAACCUAUUUAAAAACAAUAUAAAAGUUUUGGUUUGGACUAAAACAUGCUUUUAAAAGGUACUAUAGUGACAUUAAUAUAAUUUUAUCUUCCGCUUCCUACCAGUUUUUAAGAACAUAUGCUAAAGAUAAAUAGAAGCUGCUUUCCUUAGAGAAGAGCAGAGUGAACUAAUUAAAAAAAAUUUAAGAGCGCUGAUGUUCAAAGCAGUCAUGUGACAUUUCAGAGGCUUCUGUCAAUCACAAUUGCAGCUUGCAUUAGCAUUUACCUUUUAGGAACUUAUAUGUAUGAUUUCAUUUAACGCUGACAUCAUCCUGAUGCCAUCACAGAGGUUCUGAGAAGAUGAUGAUGUUUCCAUUUUAUAGGUGAGAAACAAAUAUAGCUAUUAUAUAAUUAAAUCAGCAACACUGCCAGAACCACUACUGUACUGUACCACUUCAACAAAUGUUGUAUAUUCUAAAAUGUUAUGUUUUUAAAAAAUAAAAAGUAUUUGGGGCCAGGCCCGAGUGGUUAAAGUUCUGUGUGCCACGCUUCGGUGGUCUGGGUUCACCAGUUUGGAUCCCAGGCAUGGACCUACACCACUUGCCAAGCCAUGCUGUGGUGGUGACCCACAUAGAAAAUAGAGGAAGACUGGCACAGAUGUUAGCUCAGGACUAAUCUUCGCCAAGCAAAUAAAGAGGAAGCUUGGCAACAGAUGUUAGCUCCGAGCUAAUCUUCCUCAAACAAAAAAAAUGUAAUCUGAUAUGAGUUGAAAUAAGGAUUUCUUCAAAACCAUUUUCAUGUUACUAUCUUAAGCGUUAAGUAAUAUACAUUUAUCACAUUUGUUGAAACAACAGUUCAGUGUACAACUUGAAUCAAGUAACUUUUUGUCAAGGAAAAAGUAAGACCACUAAUGCAUGGUACAAAAUGUUUAAUAUACAUGCAACAAGUAUAGUACAUCAAGGCAACAAAACACAUGUGGAAAUAUUAGCAUAGCAUUCAGCAUUCUAUUUUGGGGAGAGUGUGUGAACAAUAGACACUACCAGCUAAAAUUAAAGACUGAGACAUACAUUGUUUCCUCAUGCAAACAUUAAUUACCUCUAUAACUAGUGUGAGAUGAACUGUGUAGAAACCUGAAUUCACAUUAGGAGAUGAAUUUUAUACCAAGAGCUCCAAGAAAGGAGGAAAAGUCUUGAUUCUCAGAUGUCAUGUUUGAAUCUGCAUUUAGCAGCAUGUUAAGAUGGACAAGUUACCAUAUACAUCAGACAAAUCUGAAAAAUUUUAUCAGUUACAGAAUCUUGAAUUUCCUUUCUAUAUUUAUUAUAAAAAUGUAUGGAGGGGGCUGGCCCCGUGGCCGAGUGGUUAAGUUCAUGCACUCUGCUUCAGUGGCCCAGGGUUUUGCCGGUUUGAAUUCUGGGCCCAGACAUGGCACCGCUCAUCAGGCCAUGCUGAGGUGGCGUCCCACAUACCACAACUAGAAGGACCCAGAACUAAAAAUACACAACUAUGUAUCAGGGGGCUUUGGGAGAAAAAGGAAAAAUAAAAUCUUAAAAAAAAAAAAUGUAUGGAAAAAAUUUAACAAUGAUAUUUUUUUAAACUAUGGAAGCAUAAUGUUAGUUGAGAGUGGACCAGGAAUGGUAAAGCAUUUAACCAUUCUGAUAGUUCUUAGGAAAGCAGCAGUAGUGCUUAUGGCCAGCUGAAAAUGUUUGCAGUUCCCCUCAUUAACCAUUUCUCACUCCCUCCUCCCAAGGUUUCCAGUGUCCUCAUUUUAUACCUUCCUUCCAUCCCCCAUGCUGGUUAAAAAUUGCUUUUGAUACCUC